This is an RNA transcript of Ricinus communis (castor bean), 3057 nucleotides long. It is a transcript of the gene named protein POOR HOMOLOGOUS SYNAPSIS 1, with no coding region annotated. The transcript is spliced from 10 exons. The record is from RefSeq and is a predicted model, not a curated record. NCBI's taxonomy places the organism in Eukaryota, Viridiplantae, Streptophyta, Magnoliopsida, Malpighiales, Euphorbiaceae.
CACUUUUAUUUCCUUAUUUUUCCUAAUUUUCUAUAUUCAUUCCUAAUAUCUCCCCAAAUGCAUGUAAAAUCUAAUAAUUUAUCGACUAAUUACUUAAGUUAAUAAAUUUGGUAAUCACAUUUAUCAAAUGAUUAACUAAAAAGAGUAUUAACCAUUCAACAUCCAAAAAUAGGAAGGAUAUUAAAUGAGUUAAUUUUUAUUUUUUCAUUAUUUUUGUAUGGCGUGGCUGACUUAUUCAAUAAAAGCAGGCAAAAUUGGUCACCAAUGAAUCUAACAAUUUUGAAGCAUUUAAAUAUAUCUCAUUUUUUAAAUUUAGACAUUUAAUUGAACAAAACAAUUUAAAUACCAAAAUAGCAAAAAAUUAAAAAGUUGGAUACCAUUUAUAUAGUCUUACCAUUUCAUGACUAUAAGAUUUCAAGUUGGUGUUUCGAAAGAGCUAAUUAAUAUUCACAAAAAAAAAAAAGAGCUAAUUAAUAAAAAUAAUAAAAUAACAAUACUUUAAUUUGUAAAAAAAAAAAAAAGAAGAAGAGCAAACCCCCUUAUUAUCACCUUAAUUGCUCUCUAGCACCUUAGGACCAACUAUCUAUAAAAUCUAUAUAAACAAAACGUAUGAUGUUUUUUAAAAUAAACAUUAAUCGUAUAUAAUUAUGGGGUUUACCAUUUUUAAAACUUGUUAUUUGUUUAUUUAUGUUUUUUGUUCAUAAAUGCAAAUCGGCCCAUAACUGAAUACCAAUACUAAUCAAAUUGGGCUCGUGGUAGUAACACGGGCCUUUCUACCGGGUCCGUUUUCACUCGAAUAACCGCGGGUUCCUAUUAACAAGCACACUCGCUUUCCCUCUUCCAUUUUCAAAUUCUCACCCAACCUGAACCAAUUCUAAGCUUAAAGAAAAAACAAUGGCGGGAUCUCUAGCAUUAGUACUAAGCGAACCUCAAGAGAAAUCUGUUUCGAACAUCAAAGAAGAAUGGCAAAAAGUCUCAUACUCUCGGUUUAUCACCUAUCCUUCUCUCCCUUCCACGCAUCCCUCGCUCAUCCCUUUCUCUAACAGUUGCCGAUACAAAGGGACUCGCGGCACUUGGCUUUCCUCUCACUCUCCAACCGCAUCUCUGCAAAUCCGUAACUACAAAUCCAUCUCUCACGCUGUCCUCACCGUCUGUUUGCACGGCAAUAUCCUUGAAGAGCACUAUGUUUCAAAGUUGCACUUCACAUGGCCACUAGUGUCAUGUCUAUCUGGAUAUCCUCCUAGAGGUAGCAGAUCUUUGUUUGUCAGCUAUAAAGACUCUCUUGGCCAGAUCCAGAAGUUUGCGUUGCGAUUUUCUGUGAUUUCUGAAGCGGAGACAUUUAUAAAUGCUUUGAAGGAUAUCUUGAAGGAUUCCACUGAAACUGAACCUCUGAAUAGUGACAUUCGAUCUGAAAUUUCUUUGGAAUCUAAGUUCAUGUCUGCUGACGGAAUUCCAUCUAGAGCUUGUGAGGAGGAAUCAAGUGUCAUGACUCCCGUUCAGACUUCUUCUUUCGAAACCCAAUUCCCAUUGAGUUUGAACUAUGAAGUUGAGCAAGACUCACAAACCGAGAAAACAUUACCAAGUCGCAACCAUGAAGACAUUUCUUCUGCUUUGCCUCCUAGCUUUGCUUCAUUUCUGAGCAACUGCUGUUCUGAGGUCCAGCAAGUUGCAGCCCAGCCGACUUCAUUUGAGGAUGUCGAUCUCAAAUCUCAAAUUGCGAGAUACAUGGAAGAUUCCUCUUUCCAAGAGAUGUUGAUUAAAGUGGAGAAAGUUAUUAGUGAAAUUGGAGAUGAUCUGUUGCUGUGAUUCUACUCUCCUGCUUUUGUACGUAAAAGGUGACGAAUUGCAGGCCAGCAGGCAGCCAUGGAAGAAACAAAAAUGUUGUAUGCCAUGGAUAAUGACUUUCUUAAUGGGCGGUUCCCACAAGAAAAAUUCUUUAAAUAUUCUAGACCAGUAAACCGGAACGUUGAAGUCACAAUCAUCUCUAUUCUAUAUGUCCAGGCUAAAAUUCCAUCAAAUCCUACACAGAACUUAAUUAUUUCAUUCCUUAUCAAAGCAAAAUCCCAUUUUCUACGACCACAUCUAUGGCAUCUCAUAAUCUCCUUCUCUUUCUCUUUCCUUUACUGGCGAGUCUAACUGCACCAGUUUUCGCCUCCAAUUCUAUGUACCCUUUUAACUGCUCUGAUACCGCAAAUGGCUGCUUAGCUUUCCUGUACCAUAACAACCAAGGCCUUCAGCAAGAACAAAUUGCUGCUUUUUAUAACGUAAGCUUAACCGAAAUCAGCCCAAUUCCCCGAGGAGACAGUCAAGACUAUAUUAUAUCCGUCAUUGCUGCUUGCAAAAACAUCAACGGGACCACUGCAUACUUCUAUGAUGCACCCUAUACUGUUCAACAAAACGACACUUUUGUGACCGUUUCAGAACAGAUUUAUAGCGGGCAAGCUUGGGGAGUCGGAGAUGAAGAAAGUAAAUUCAUUACAGGAAAUGUAGUGUCAAUGCAUCUUUUGUCUGGGUGUGUAGCUAGUGACUCCCAAUUUGUGGUAACAUACACUGUUCAGCAAAAUGACACAAUAUCAGACAUUGCCAACAGACUAUCUUCCACUGUGAGUGGUAUUCAGAGCAUGAACAGCCUGCUGAUUACAGACCCAAACAUGCUGGUUGCCGGUUGGGUGUUGUUUGUGCCUGUGCAGCUAACUCUUGAUGUGGCUCCCAGCCCUGCUCCAUCCAUAAAUUAGUAAAAUCAUACGAAGACUCGAUCGGUGAAGAUGGUUUGCCGUGGCAUGUUAUAUGGGUACUUGGUAAACGUGGAAGACAACAAGAAUCUUUAGAGAUGCAUGUUUCUAUAUUCUCAUGUACUGGGAAAUUUAAAUAGUUUAUUAACAGAGUAGUGGACAAUAAAGAGUGAAUUUUGCACUUACCUUUCAUUUGGAGAAACCCUAGGAAAAAUCGAACUGAUCAUGUGAUCUCUAUUUUUGGAAAAAGAUCUAUCAGAUUCAUUUAUAAGUAAUGUCUACUUCUUCACCCUGGAGAAAUCGAAUGUUACUUUUCAUGUUAUUA